RNAcentral lists this long non-coding RNA (829 nucleotides) under Nicotiana tabacum (common tobacco). Its description in RNAcentral is "long non-coding RNA (NTAB_LNC007368)". Lineage: Eukaryota; Viridiplantae; Streptophyta; Magnoliopsida; Solanales; Solanaceae. The record is from RNAcentral.
AAAAAGAUAUUUUUGCACAAUUGUCACGAAAGUACCAAGUAUCAGAUCUGGUCCCAGAAAUGAGUGCUUGUCCUAGUUGAAUUAUCAUUAUCAUUAAGCACCAAGAAAAUAGAGUACAUGAACAACUUGAGCUCAUCUAAUUUCUUUUGGUCUUUCCCAACUAAGCCCAUUAAAAACAAAAAAGGCAACUACUAUUUAUUAAGGGAUAGGCUAAUAGAUGUCAUAUGCUAUUUCUUCCGACACUAAAUUCUGGUGCCUUUUUCUUCAUAUCAUCUGCCAAUAUAUGUCUAAUCAUCAUCUUCCUCCUGUCAAAUAAACAAGCAAGCACUGGAUUAAAAUAAUUAUUAUAGUAAGAGUAUUUAACGUGUAUCUGUCAAAAUAAAAAUUUCUAUCGACAAUAUAGCAAAAUAUUAACACAUACCUCUUCGUCAUCGUCCUCAUCGUUAACCUCAGACCUUGACCUGUUAGAUUCCUCCUCUUCAUUUGAAACACCAGCCUAUAAAAUUACCAAAUUUUAAAAUUAGAUCAAAAUAACAGUAUAAACAAUGCAGCAGAGAGCAUAAAUUUUACUUGUUUGUUGUUAUAAGCCUCAUGCUCUUUUAGUACUCAACCUUCCUUUUCUCUGCUUUUGCUUGAUAAGGAGCUUUCUCCUAUUUAAGAUUAUUACAAAAAUUAGCAACUCUGAAUCGCAAAAUCACAUAAAAAUUUUAGCCAAUAUAAUUCUCUUUUUUGUGCUACUAAUAAAUCAAAAUAAAAAUUGAUUACUUACGGCAGCUUUACCAACCUAAAAAUUAAAAUGCGAAAAUAUACAAUUCAAAAAUCACUGAAA